RNAcentral lists this ribosomal RNA (858 nucleotides) under Triticum aestivum (bread wheat). Its description in RNAcentral is "partial small subunit ribosomal RNA". Lineage: Eukaryota; Viridiplantae; Streptophyta; Magnoliopsida; Poales; Poaceae. The record is from RNAcentral.
GGGGGUGAAGGAGUUAUUCUUUGUCUGUAUGUCGACGACAUAUUGAUCUUUGGAACCAAACUUGAUUUAAUCAAGGAGGUUAAGGAUUUCUUAUCUUGCUGUUUUGAGAUGAAGGAUCUAGAAGUAGCUGAUGUUAUCUUAAACAUCAAGCUGUUGAGAGAUGAGAAUGGUGGGAUCACAUUGCUUCAGUCUCAUUAUGUGGAAAAGGUCUUGAGUCAUUUUGGGUAUAGCGACUGCACGCCUUCUCCAACUCCAUAUGAUGCUAGUCUGAGUCGGUUUGUGUCAAAACCGGGAGAUGAUCAUUGGCAUGCGCUUGAGAGAGUUAUGUGCUAUUUGGAAGCCAUCGCGAGCUAUGGGAUUCACUACACCGGGUAUUCAAGGGUACUGGAGGGUUAUAGUGACUCAAACUGGAUAUCUGAUGCUGAUGAGAUUAAGGCCACAAGUGCUUAUGUUUUUACACUUGGUGGUGGCGCUGUUUUCUGGAAGUCUUGCAAGCAGACCAUCUUAACGAGGUCAACUAUGAAAGCAGAACUCACAGCAUUAGACACUGCCAUUGUUGAAGCAGAGUGGCUUCGUGAACUCUUGAUGGACUUACCUAUGGUUGUAAAACCAAUACCCCUUAUCCUGAUGAACUGUGAUAAUCAAACUGUGAUCGUCAAGAUAAACAGUUCUAAGGACAAUAUGAAGUCCUCAAGGCAUGUGAAGAGGAGACUAAAAUCUGUCAGAAAAUUGAGAAACUCCGGAGUUAUUACGUUGGAUUAUAUCCAAACGUCAAAAAACUUGGCAGAUCCCUUCACAAAGGGUCUAUCACGUAAUGUGAUAGAUAAUGCAUCGAUGGAGAUGGGUUUGAGACCCACC